RNAcentral lists this ribosomal RNA (499 nucleotides) under uncultured bacterium. RNAcentral's name for it is "bacterial SSU rRNA". It matches the Rfam family "Bacterial small subunit ribosomal RNA", at positions 28 to 517 of the family's 1533-position model. The record is from RNAcentral.
GAUGAACGCUAGCUACAGGCUUAACACAUGCAAGUCGAGGGGCAGCAUGAACUUAGCUUGCUAAGUUUGAUGGCGACCGGCGCACGGGUGAGUAACACGUAUCCAACCUUCCGUUUACUCAGGGAUAGCCUUUCGAAAGAAAGAUUAAUACCUGAUAGUAUGGUGAGAUUGCAUGAUAACACCAUUAAAGAUUUAUUGGUAAACGAUGGGGAUGCGUUCCAUUAGGUAGUAGGCGGGGUAACGGCCCACCUAGCCUGCGAUGGAUAGGGGUUCUGAGAGGAAGGUCCCCCACAUUGGAACUGAGACACGGUCCAAACUCCUACGGGAGGCAGCAGUGAGGAAUAUUGGUCAAUGGGCGAGAGCCUGGAACCAGCCAAGUAGCGUGCAGGAUGACGGCCCUAUGGGUUGUAAACUGCUUUUGACUAGGGUAAACUCACCUACGUGUAGUGACUGAAAGUNUAGUACGAAUAAGGAUCGGCUAACUCCGUGCCAGCAGCCG